UAACAGAGAGUUCGAUCAUAUCAGAUUGAACGCUGGCGGAUCUUUACACAUGCAAGUCGAACGGCAGCACGGACUUCGGUCUGGUGGCGAGUGGCGAACGGGUGAGUAAUGUAUCGGAACGUGCCUGGUAGCGAGAUAACUACGCGAAAGCGUAGCUAAUACCGCAUACGCCCUUCGGGGAAAAGCGGGGGACCUUCGGGCCUCGCACUAUUAGAGCGGCCGAUAUCGGAUUAGCUAGUUGGUGGGGUAACGGCUCACCAAGGCGACGAUCCGUAGCUGGUUUGAGAGGACGACCAGCCACACUGGGACUGAGACACGGCCCAGACUCCUACGGGAGGCAGCAGUGGGGAAUUUUGGACAAUGGGGGAAACCCUGAUCCAGCCAUCCCGCGUGUGCGAUGAAGGCCUUCGGGUUGUAAAGCACUUUUGGCAGGAAAGAAACGUACCGGGAUAAUACCCCGUGCAACUGACCCGAACACCUGCAGAAUAAGCGCCGGCUAACUACGUGCCGGCAGCCGCGGUAAUACGUAGAGGUGCAAGCGUUAAUCGGAAUUACUGGGCGUAAAGCGUGCGCAGGCGGUUCCGGAAGAAAAGAUGUGAAAUCCCAGAGCUUAACUUUGGAACUGCAUUUUUAACUACCGAGCUAGAGUGUGUCCAGAGGAGGUGGAAUUCCGCGUGUAGCAGUGAAAUGUGUAGAUAUGCGGAGGAACACCGAUGGCGAGGCAGCCUCCUGGGGCUACUGACGCUCAUGCACGAAAGCGAUAGAGCAAACUGGGAUUAGAUACCCUGGUAGUCCACGCCCUAAACGAUGUCAACUAGCUGUUGGGGCCUUCGGGCCUUGGUAGCGCAGCUAACGCGCGUGAGAAGUUGACCGCCUGGGGAGAGUACGGUCGCAAGAUUAAAACUCAAAGGAAUUGACGGGGACCCACCUGGCGGUGGAUGAUGUGGAUUAAUUCGAUGCAACGCGAAAACCUUACCUACCCUUGACAUGUCUGGAAUCCCGAAGAGAUUUGGGAGUGCUCGCAAGAGAACCGGAACACAGGUGCUGCAUGGCUGUCGUCAGCUCGUGUCGUGAGAUGUUGGGUUAAGUCCUGGCAACAGCGCUGUCAUUGGAUUGCUACGAAGGGCACUCUAAUGAAGCUGCCGGUGACAAACCGGAGGAAGGUGGGGAUGACGUCAAGUCCUCAUGGCCCUUAUGGGUAGGGCUUCACACGUCAUACAAUGGUCGGGACAGAGGGUCGCCAACCCGCGAGGGAGCAAUCCCAGAAACCCGAUCGUAGUCCGGAUCGCGGUCUGCAACUCGACUGCGUGAAGUCCGGAAUCGCUAGUAAUCGCGGAUCAGCAUGUCGCGGUGAAUACGUUCCCGGGUCUUGUACACACCGCCCGUCACACCAUGGGAGUGGGUUUUACCAGAAGUAGUUAGCCUAACCGUAAGGAUGGCGAUUACCACGGUAAGUUCAUGACUGGGGUGAAGUCGUAACAAGGUAG
Molecule: ribosomal RNA, 1487 nt
Filed under: uncultured Bordetella sp.
Lineage: Bacteria; Pseudomonadati; Pseudomonadota; Betaproteobacteria; Burkholderiales; Alcaligenaceae
Description: partial 16S-23S ribosomal RNA intergenic spacer
Rfam family: Bacterial small subunit ribosomal RNA
Source: RNAcentral